CGAAACCCAUCACAAGAUGAGAUUUCUUUUAAGGGUCGUAGGAGACGACUACGUUGAUAGGUCAUAGGUGUAGAGGCAGUAAUGUCUUAGCCGAGUGAUACUAAUUACCCGUAAGCCUAUCGUA
RNAcentral lists this ribosomal RNA (124 nucleotides) under Flavobacteriaceae bacterium. Its description in RNAcentral is "partial 23S ribosomal RNA". It matches the Rfam family "Bacterial large subunit ribosomal RNA", at positions 2788 to 2925 of the family's 2925-position model. Lineage: Bacteria; Pseudomonadati; Bacteroidota; Flavobacteriia; Flavobacteriales; Flavobacteriaceae. The record is from RNAcentral.